CUGAAAGGGAAUAAUUCAAAAUGCUUUCUAUUUCUGUUAUGAGAUCCAGUUUUCAUUCUUGUAGAUCAGCCAUCUCAAUCCCAUUUUCCUCCAGGCGAUCGAAUGUUUCUGUGGAUGUGACCAUCAGUAUAGAGUGAUUGAGUAGAUAACCCUAUAAAAUGCAGUAAUGUGAUACAGGACUUGAAAAAUUAUUGCACCUAACUUGCAUAUAGAUAUUUGGAGAUUAAUUAUAUGUUUUAUAAUUCCAGUACUGAGUGUCCUUAAAUUCUGCCACAAAGGUCUUUAAAUAUUUAGUUUAUUAAAUAUGCAGUUCUUGUUUUUAGCCAUCUGGGAGGAUUUUUUGACCAUCUGUUUGAGCUUUCCCUUCUGUGUCAUAAAUUUAGGAAAUCCUGAAGGUUUGCAUUCUUCUCUAUUUGAUGAAUUCUACUUAGACUUUUCCCCAAGCUUUUGGUGACUUUUUUUGAAAAUAUGAAUAUCUGGUAUAAAUUGG
Molecule: long non-coding RNA, 490 nt
Filed under: Bos taurus (domestic cattle)
Lineage: Eukaryota; Metazoa; Chordata; Mammalia; Artiodactyla; Bovidae
Description: long non-coding RNA NONBTAT016250
Source: RNAcentral